This 592-nucleotide ribosomal RNA is filed under the name Dictyota dichotoma. RNAcentral describes it as "LSU rRNA". It matches the Rfam family "Eukaryotic large subunit ribosomal RNA", at positions 42 to 476 of the family's 3401-position model. The record is from RNAcentral. Lineage: Eukaryota; Phaeophyceae; Dictyotales; Dictyotaceae.
AUAACUAAGCGGAGGAAAAGAAACUAACAAGGAUUCCCCCAGUAACGGCGAGUGAAGCGGGAAGAGCUCACGUUGUGAAUCUGGCCCUCGGGCCGAAUUGUACACUGGAGAGGCGUGGCCAGCCGCUGUCCGCGGCCAAGUCUGAUUGGAAAUGAGCAUCAAGGAGGGUGACAAUCCCGUCCAUGCCGCGGUACCGAUCAGCGCGCGUCCGGCCCGCUUUCGACGAGUCGAGUUGCUUGGGAUUGCAGCUCAAAGAGGGUGGUAAACUCCAUCCAAAGCUAAACACGGGGGGGAGACCGAUAGCGAACAAGUACCGUGAGGAAAGAUGCAAAGAACUUUGAAAAGAGAGUUAAAGAGUGCCUUAAAUUGCUGGAAGGGAAGCGAAGGAAAGAGGUGUGCGGUUGCCCGGGCGCCAACCCCUACCUGUUCGCAGGUGGGGGUAGGCCGCCCGGCCGCGGUCAGGGGUAGCGCCGGGCUCGGGGGAAGAGCCGUCGGGGAUCGGUAGGCGAGCCGCUUCGGUGGUGCGCUGUCAGGCCCCGGUGGUUGUUGCCCUGAGCCCGGCCCCCGUCUGGCGGUCGCGGCUUUUCUUCAC